This 271-nucleotide ribosomal RNA is filed under the name uncultured prokaryote. RNAcentral's name for it is "partial 16S ribosomal RNA". It matches the Rfam family "Bacterial small subunit ribosomal RNA", at positions 524 to 794 of the family's 1533-position model. The record is from RNAcentral.
UACGUAGGGAGCGAGCGUUGUCCGAAUUCACUGGGCGUAAAGCGCGCGUAGGCGGAUUAAUAAGUUGAUGGUGAAAUCCCGAGGCUCAACCUCGGAAGUGCCUUCAAAACUGUUAGUCUGGAGGUAUGGAGAGGGAAGUGGAAUUCCUGGUGUAGCGGUGAAAUGCGUAGAUAUCAGGAGGAACACCCGUGGCGAAGGCGGCUUCCUGGCCAUAUCCUGACGCUGAGGUGCGAAAGCGUGGGGAGCAAACAGGAUUAGAUACCCCUGUAGU